UACGUAGGGUGCGAGCGUUAAUCGGAAUUACUGGGCGUAAAGCGUGCGCAGGCGGUAAGUUAAGUCUGAUGUGAAAGCCCCGGGCUCAACCUGGGAAUGGCAUUGGAAACUGGCUUGCUGGAGUGUGGCAGAGGGGGGUGGAAUUCCGCGUGUAGCAGUGAAAUGCGUAGAGAUGUGGAGGAACACCAGUGGCGAAGGCGACUCUUUGGCCUGUAACUGACGCUGAGGCGCGAAAGCGUGGGGAGCAAACAGG
This 253-nucleotide ribosomal RNA is filed under the name uncultured bacterium. RNAcentral describes it as "partial 16S ribosomal RNA". It matches the Rfam family "Bacterial small subunit ribosomal RNA", at positions 524 to 776 of the family's 1533-position model. The record is from RNAcentral.